GCUGAAUAAAGCCGUGUCUCAUCUACCUGCUGUCUCCCAAGUGUUCUUCCAGCUCCCUGCCCCUCAUCAACCCACUCUCCUCAGACCUCAGCUGGGGCUUGAACCUGAUAAUUGGUGUAGUCAUCAGGAUGAGCUGUACCCUUCAUCACGAAUUUGAUGGACUGCUUGACAAUGGAACUGGAAGAGUACCACUUUGUGGUGGACUUAGCUAAUGCAGUCUUCUCCAUUGACAUUGCUCCAGAGAGCCAGGAGAAGUUUGUCUUCACGUGGGAAGGAUGACAAUGGACUUUCACCAUGCUGCCACAGGGCUGUGUGCAUAGCCCCACCAUUUGUCCUGGUCUUGUUGCCAUGGAUUUAGCUGCCUGGAAAUGCCCAAAAGGGGUCUGCCUGUUUCAUUACAUUGAUGAUAUGUUAACCUCUGAUUCUCUCACAGAUUUAGAAGUGGUGGUGCCCCUCUUGUGACAGCAUUUGGCAGUGUGCAGUUGGGCCAUCAAUAAAUCCAAGGUCCAAGGGCCGGAAUUGUCUGCCAAAUUCUUGGGAGUUAUUUGCUCAGCUUGGGGGAAGACCUAACUUGAAGAAUGAGGGCUUACCUGUGAAAAUUGAUUGUAUAUUGUCUUUUGGCAGUGAGGAG
RNAcentral lists this long non-coding RNA (631 nucleotides) under Homo sapiens (human). RNAcentral's name for it is "HSALNT0320426". Lineage: Eukaryota; Metazoa; Chordata; Mammalia; Primates; Hominidae. The record is from RNAcentral.